UAGCCGUAAACGAUACUCGCUAGGUGUCGGCCACGGUGCGACCGUUGUCGGUGCCGUAGGGAAGCCGUGAAGCGAGCCACCUGGGAAGUACGGCCGCAAGGCUGAAACUUAAAGGAAUUGGCGGGGGAGCACCACAAGAGGUGGAGGCUGCGGUUCAAUUGGACUCAACGCCGGAAACUCAUCGGGAGCGACAGCAGUAUGAUUGCCAGGUUGAUGACCUUGCCUGAAUCGCUGAGAGGAGGUGCAUGGCGUAGACGUCU
Molecule: ribosomal RNA, 260 nt
Filed under: uncultured archaeon
Lineage: Archaea
Description: partial 16S ribosomal RNA
Rfam family: Archaeal small subunit ribosomal RNA
Source: RNAcentral